UCAACCAACUGAGCAACAGUCCACUGAAGUUCAGAAGACUCGACAAUAUGAUCACUGGAACCAUGCUGAAGGUCGUGCUUGUUCUUGGCUGCCUCCUGAGUCUCACUCUGGCUAGACCGAACCACAUGCGAGUUGCCCGCUCUGAUUCGUCCUCUUCCUCAGAGUCCAACGAG
Long non-coding RNA from Pleuronectes platessa (European plaice), 173 nucleotides. RefSeq lists it as uncharacterized. Lineage: Eukaryota; Metazoa; Chordata; Actinopteri; Pleuronectiformes; Pleuronectidae. The record is from RefSeq and is a predicted model, not a curated record. The transcript has 3 exons.